This 254-nucleotide ribosomal RNA is filed under the name uncultured bacterium. Its description in RNAcentral is "partial 16S ribosomal RNA". It matches the Rfam family "Bacterial small subunit ribosomal RNA", at positions 524 to 776 of the family's 1533-position model. The record is from RNAcentral.
UACGUAGGGAGCAAGCGUUGUCCGGAUUUAUUGGGCGUAAAGAGCUCGUAGGCGGCUUAGCAAGUCGGGUGUGAAACCUCCAGGCUCAACCUGGAGACGCCACUCGAUACUGCUAUGGCUUGAGUUCGGUAGGGGUAAGCGGAAUUCCUGGUGUAGCGGUGAAAUGCGCAGAUAUCAGGAGGAACACCGAUGGCGAAGGCAGCUUACUGGGCCGAUACUGACGCUGAGGAGCGAAAGCGUGGGGAGCGAACAGG